AUACAAGGGACUGCUUUAAUAGUGGUCCACUUGAAUGAGAGAGUUUCAAACGUACUCUUGAGUAACAAUUAGAGGGCAAGUCUGGUGCCAGCAGCCGCGGUAAUUCCAGCUCUAAUAGCGUAUAUUAAUAUUGUUGUAGUUAAAAAGCUCGUAGUUGGAUUCUGGUGAUUGGUUUAUGGCUAGUUGUUAUUUCGCAGUAAUGUGAGUGACAAUUGGUUGCCAGUCAUCAUUUAUGAUUACAAUUUGUCACUGUCAUUCAUUUGAUGGUGAUUGAACAAGUUGUAAUUAGAUUACUUUGAGUAAAUUAGAGUGUUUAAAGCAAACCGUAUUUUAAUGGUUGGUAUCUUUGCUGUUUGUAGCAAUACAUUCAGUGAUGAUAUGAUGAUGAAUAGAUUAGCAUGGGAUAAUAGAAUAGGACUCGCAAGCUAUUCGUUGGUGUUGGGCUUUGGUGAGUAAUGGUUAAUAGGAGUGGUCGGGGGUACUUGUAUUUCAUAGCUAGAGGUGAAAUUCUUGGAUUUAUGAAAGACAAACUAGAGCGAAAGCAUUUGCCAAGCACAUAUCCAUUAAUCAAGAACGAAAGUCAGGGGAUCGAAGACGAUCAGAUACCGUCGUAGUCUUGACCAUAAACGAUGCCGACCAGGGAUCCGGUGAGAUGUCACAUAUUUACUAUGUGCACUUGCUGGGCACCUUGUGAGAAAUCAUAAGUAAUUGGGUUUUAGGGGGAGUAUGGUCGCAAGGCUGAAACUUAAAGGAAUUGACGGAGGGGCACCACCAGGAGUGGAGCCUGCGGCUUAAUUUGACCCAACACGGGGAAACUUACCAGGUCCAGACAUGGGAAGGAUUGACAGAUUGAUAGCUCUUUCUUGAUUCUAUGGGUGGUGGUGCAUGGCCGUUCUUAGUUGGUGGUUUGCAUUGUCUGGUCAAUUCCGAUAACGAACGAGACCUCUGCCUGCUAACUAGUUUCAUUAAUGUCCUCUGCUUUAAUUCAGUUAAUUAGCAAUAAUCAGUUGGAUGGUGGUGAUCAACAUUGGUGUAAACUUCUUAGAGGGACUGUUUACGAUUAGUAAAAGUAAGUUUGAGGCAAUAACAGGUCCGUGAUGCCCUUCGAUGUUCUGGGCCGCACGCGCGCUACACUGACAGACUCACCAAGUUAGUUCCAUUAGGGACAUCCCCAAUCGAUAGGUUGGGGUAAUCUCGAGUGUCUGUCGUGAUGGGGAUAGAUGAUUGCAAUUAUUCAUCUUGAACGAGGAAUUCCUAGUAAGCGUCAGUCAUCAACUGGCGUUGAUUUAGUCCCUGCCCCUUGCACACACCGCCCGUCGCUCCUACCGAUUGGAUGGUCCGGUGAAAUCUUUGGAU
RNAcentral lists this ribosomal RNA (1356 nucleotides) under metagenome. RNAcentral's name for it is "SSU rRNA". It matches the Rfam family "Eukaryotic small subunit ribosomal RNA", at positions 477 to 1715 of the family's 1831-position model. The record is from RNAcentral.